RNAcentral lists this long non-coding RNA (1487 nucleotides) under Salmo salar (Atlantic salmon). RNAcentral's name for it is "lncRNA (ENSSSAG00000092425.1)". Lineage: Eukaryota; Metazoa; Chordata; Actinopteri; Salmoniformes; Salmonidae. The record is from RNAcentral.
GGUUGGGGGUGGGGAAAAAGGGCGGGGCGUGGAUGUGACCCACAUAAUAUACAAUCUUCUGGAAAGGAUCACUAGCAUGAAUGCAAAAGUUUUUCUGAAGUUUCAUUUAUUUAGUUUUCCGUGAAAAUAUGUGGCGCUAACUGUCCUGAGAAGCAAACAAACAUUUAGGUUUAAUAGGUUUGUUAGCAGAUUAUACCUGCUCACUUGGGGACCAAGACAUGCAGAUGAUCUACAUGGGAGCUUUUUUUCAGGAUGUUCAGUAUUUUACAGUUGGACUUCCUCUGACAUCUAAUUUCAUAAAGUUUUCACGUGUGAGGAGGAUGGCUGUGCUCUGCACCACGAAGAAGAUGUCAUGCUGAGGAUGGGUUUCUGCACUGAUGUUGUUGGUGUGAUGUACUGUAGCGGUGGCUCUCUCACUGUGUCUCUGUUGGCCAUGAUGCGUAACCAUAGAGAGUGAGUGACAGCCUGGUCUCCACACAGCAUAGGGGGCCUGAGAACCACAGACUCCUUUCAGAAGCAGUGAGGACUGACCAGUCUGCAAGCGAGACACUGGCCUUUCUCCCAUCAUGCCAGUCACUGACUGUUCUAGGCGUUGUGUUCAAAGACUAGUGCCACAAGUAUGGAAAUGCAGAUAAAGCAUUGUAACAAAUGAAAGAGGGAAAAAAAGGGUUAAAUGCCUGGAAAUGGUCACCGUCCACCACUUGUGCCACUGCCUGGUGCAUUUUCUUUUGUUUUGAAAGUUUUGCCAACAUUUUCAGUUGUUGACGGAUCUGUAGAGCGGAGGUAUCUAUCUACACACGCAGAUUAUGAGAGCCCUCAAUGUAAAUAACAUAUUUUUGUUUCUUUGAAUUUAAGAUGACAUUAACAAUGACCUAUCACAGUUUGCUGAUGAUAUGCCCGAAUGUACUCUUUCAGGUAAACAUUCUACAUAGUUUGUUAGAUACGGAAACAUACAACUGCCAUGUAAUGUUUACGAGAAAGCAAUCAAAACAGUAUAAAGCAAGCCUGUUUAGUAUUACGUUUUGCAGGCUAUAUGUUAUUUGGGUAAUUCAUAGAAGCUCUGUAAGUAUGUAAAACAUGUUUUGUUUUUUAUAUUUCCCCCAGAAAUAUCCACAGUAUAUCUAUUGUCUUAAUCAAGUAUCCCCAAACAGUCCAAAUGGAGGAGUAGUCCAAUGGUGGUUUUGGUUAUAUUGUGAUGAUUGAACGAGUUGAACCAGUCGUAGGCUGUGAUAUAAGGCCCACCUGAGUAGUAUGAGAAAGAAUAUGGGAACAUAGCAACAUUUAUCUAGAAUUAUAUCCAAUACAUUUGAUCCAUCUUUAAUUUGUAAAAAAAAAAUGUUUUGUCAAAGUGAUGAAAAAAACAUUAUUCACCAUUUUGUGUAAUGUUGUGAUUGUCCUUCUCAUAAUAAAAAUGAAGACAUACUCAAUUGUGAUGUCUGUGUUUUAAAGUUAUAUGUUUGUGUCACCUUUUUAUGAACUAACCUGAC